This 240-nucleotide ribosomal RNA is filed under the name Triticum aestivum (bread wheat). RNAcentral describes it as "partial small subunit ribosomal RNA". The record is from RNAcentral. Lineage: Eukaryota; Viridiplantae; Streptophyta; Magnoliopsida; Poales; Poaceae.
AUGUGCAUUCCUAAGAAUGAUGGAGGUAUGGGAUUUCGUGAUCUACAUUGUUUCAAUAAAGUCAUGCUGGCAAAAAAAUGCUAGAGACUUAUCGAAGCAAAUUGAUUAUGUGCUUAGAUUUUGCGUGCCAAAUAUUGCCCGGAUGGGGACUUGAUGAAUGCUACUUUGAAGAAAAGUUUGUCGUACACAUGGCAGAGUAUCAUGGAAGGUAUGCAAACUUUGAAACAAGGGGCGACUUGA